This 393-nucleotide ribosomal RNA is filed under the name uncultured bacterium. Its description in RNAcentral is "bacterial SSU rRNA". It matches the Rfam family "Bacterial small subunit ribosomal RNA", at positions 58 to 486 of the family's 1533-position model. The record is from RNAcentral.
CAAGUCGAACGCAGUCCUUCGGGACUUGAGUGGCGCACGGGUGAGUAGCGCGUGGGAACCUGCCCUGUUGUGGGGGAUAACCGGGGGAAACUCCGGCUUAAUACCGCAUGCGCCCGGCGAGUGAUCGCCGGGGAAAGAUUUAUCGCAGCAGGAGGGGCCCGCGUCCGAUUAGGUAGUUGGUGGGGUAACGGCCUACCAAGCCGAUGAUCGGUAGCUGGUCUAAGAGGAUGAUCAGCCACACUGGGACUGAGACACGGCCCAGACUCCUACGGGAGGCAGCAGUGGGGAAUAUUGGACAAUGGGCGCAAGCCUGAUCCAGCAAUGCCGCGUGAGUGAGGAAGGCCUUAGGGUUGUAAAAACUUUCGGCGGGGACGAUGAGACGGUUCCGCAGAA